UUUUUACUAUGAAGAGUUUGAUCCUGGCUCAGGAUGAACGCUAGCGACAGGCUUAACACAUGCAAGUCGAGGGGCAGCAUGGUCAGUAGCAAUACCGACUGAUGGCGACCGGCGCACGGGUGAGUAACGCGUAUGCAACCUGCCCUGUACAGGGGGAUAGCCCAUGGAAACGUGGAUUAAUAUCCCAUAGUAAUCACGAUAGGCAUCUAUUUUGAUUUAAAUCUUCGGAGGUACAGGAUGGGCAUGCGUCCUAUUAGAUAGUUGGCGGGGUAACGGCCCACCAAGUCCUUGAUAGGUAGGGGUUCUGAGAGGAAGGUCCCCCACACUGGUACUGAGACACGGACCAGACUCCUACGGGAGGCAGCAGUGAGGAAUAUUGGUCAAUGGGCGAUAGCCUGAACCAGCCAAGUCGCGUGAGGGAAGACUGCCCUAUGGGUUGUAAACCUCUUUUGUAAGUGGAGAAUAAGCGUUACGUGUAGCGCGAUGACUGUAACUUACGAAUAAGCAUCGGCUAACUCCGUGCCAGCAGCCGCGGUAAUACGGAGGAUGCGAGCGUUAUCCGGAUUUAUUGGGUUUAAAGGGUGCGUAGGCGGCACUAUAAGUUAGUGGUAAAAUAUCCGGGCUUCACCCGGACUCGCCAUUAAUACUGUAGAGCUCGAGUACAGACGAGGUAGGCGGAAUAAGUUAAGUAGCGGUGAAAUGCAUAGAUAUAACUUAGAACUCCGAUAGCGAAGGCAGCUUACCAGACUGUAACUGACGCUGAUGCACGAGAGCGUGGGUAUCGAACAGGAUUAGAUACCCUGGUAGUCCACGCCGUAAACGAUGCUCACCGGCCCUUAGCGAUAUAGAGUUAGGGGUUAAUCGAAAGAAUUAAGUGAGCCACCUGGGGAGUACGUCGGCAACGAUGAAACUCAAAGGAAUUGACGGGGGCCCGCACAAGCGGAGGAACAUGUGGUUUAAUUCGAUGAUACGCGAGGAACCUUACCUGGGUUUAAAUGUAUUCUGCAUAAACUGGAAACAGUUUUUUCCUUCGGGACUGAUUACAAGGUGCUGCAUGGUUGUCGUCAGCUCGUGCCGUGAGGUGUCGGGUUAAGUCCCAUAACGAGCGCAACCCUUAUCACUAGUUGCCAUCAGGUAAUGCUGGGCACUCUAUUGAGACUGCCACCGUAAGGUGAGAGGAAGGGGGGGAUGACGUCAAAUCAGCACGGCCCUUACACCCAGGGCGACACACGUGUUACAAUGGCCGGUACAGAGGGUCGCUACCUGGUGACAGGAUGCUAAUCUCGAAAUCCGGUCGUAGUUCGGAUUGGAGUCUGUAACCCGACUCCAUGAAGUUGGAUUCGCUAGUAAUCGCGCAUCAGCCAUGGCGCGGUGAAUACGUUCCCGGGCCUUGUACACACCGCCCGUCAAGCCAUGGAAGCCGGGAGUACCUGAAGUCCGUAACCGCAAGGAUCGGCCUAAGGUAAUACUGGUAACUGGGGCUAAGUCGUAACAAGGUAGCCGUACCGGAAGGUGUGGCUGGAACACCUCCUUUCUGGAG
RNAcentral lists this ribosomal RNA (1540 nucleotides) under Odoribacter sp. OF09-27XD. Its description in RNAcentral is "bacterial SSU rRNA". It matches the Rfam family "Bacterial small subunit ribosomal RNA". The record is from RNAcentral. Lineage: Bacteria; Pseudomonadati; Bacteroidota; Bacteroidia; Bacteroidales; Odoribacteraceae.